Molecule: long non-coding RNA, 361 nt
Filed under: Helianthus annuus (common sunflower)
Lineage: Eukaryota; Viridiplantae; Streptophyta; Magnoliopsida; Asterales; Asteraceae
Description: hypothetical non coding rna
Source: RNAcentral
AUGUUGCGGCUUAUGCUUCUCUCCAAGAGAUCAAUUAGGUUUUUUACAAAGCGGUCAAGUAUAUGAUGGUGCUCAUGCUACCAGGCCUGAAUACUUUCUGAAGCACAGUUACAACAGAUGUAGCCAUGUAGGCAUUCCUGGUUUUGUUCUAAACAGAUGCUAAUGGGAGGAGGUGGAUAUUUUUCAGCUGAUGGUUUUGGAAAAUGAAUAUACUCACGCCGUUGUAUGUUUUUUUACACACGUAGCUUCUUCGUACUACAAUUAUCAACAGUAGCUAAUCGCAUGUUUGUAAAAUGUUUUAACAUGCCUUGCUUGAACUUUGAGUGCCUUUGUUUUGCUUUCACGUUAAUAAAACAAGAUU